This 1380-nucleotide ribosomal RNA is filed under the name Acinetobacter baumannii. Its description in RNAcentral is "bacterial SSU rRNA". It matches the Rfam family "Bacterial small subunit ribosomal RNA", at positions 32 to 1407 of the family's 1533-position model. Lineage: Bacteria; Pseudomonadati; Pseudomonadota; Gammaproteobacteria; Moraxellales; Moraxellaceae. The record is from RNAcentral.
AACGCUGGCGGCUGGCUUAACACAUGCAAGUCGAGCGGGGGAAGGUAGCUUGCUACCGGACCUAGCGGCGGACGCCUGAGUAAUGCUUAGGAAUCUGCCUAUUAGUGGGGGACAACAUCUCGAAAGGGAUGCUAAUACCGCAUACGUCCUACGGGAGAAAGCAGGGGAUCUUCGGACCUUGCGCUAAUAGAUGAGCCUAAGUCGGAUUAGCUAGUUGGUGGGGUAAAGGCCUACCAAGGCGACGAUCUGUAGCGGGUCUGAGAGGAUGAUCCGCCACACUCCCACUGAGACAGCGCCCAGACUCCUACGGGAGGCAGCAGUGGGGAAUAUUGGACAAUGGGGGGAACCCUGAUCCAGCCAUGCCGCGUGUGUGAAGAAGGCCUUAUGGUUGUAAAGCACUUUAAGCGAGGAGGAGGCUACUUUAGUUAAAUCCUAGAGAUAGUGGACGUUACUCGCAGAAUAAGCACCGGCUAACUCUGUGCCAGCAGCCGCGGUAAUACAGAGGGUGCGAGCGUUAAUCGGAUUUACUGGGCGUAAAGCGUGCGUAGGCGGCUUAUUAAGUCGGAUGUGAUUUCCCCGAGCUUAACUUGGGAAUUGCAUUCGAUACUGGUGAGCUAGAGUAUCCCAGAGGAUGGUAGAAUUCCAGGUGUAGCGGUGAAAUGCGUAGAGAUCUGGAGGAAUACCGAUGGCGAAGGCAGCCAUCUGGCCUAAUACUGACGCUGAGGUACGAAAGCAUGGGGAGCAAACAGGAUUAGAUACCCUGGUAGUCCAUGCCGUAAACGAUGUCUACUAGCCGUUGGGGCCUUUGAGGCUUUAGUGGCGCAGCUAACGCGAUAAGUAGACCGCCUCCCGAGUACGGUCGCAAGACUAAAACUCAAAUGAAUUGACGGGGGCCCGCACUUGCGGUGGAGCAUGUGGUUUAAUUCGAUGCAACGCGAAGAACCUUACCUGGCCUUGACAUACUAGAAACUUUCCAGAGAUGGAUUGGUGCCUUCGGGAAUCUAGAUACAGGUGCUGCAUGCGUGUCGUCAGCUCGUGUCGUGAGAUGUUGGGUUAAGUCCCGCAACGAGCGCAACCCUUUUCCUUACUUGCCAGCAUUUCGGAUGGGAACUUUAAGGAUACUGCCAGUGACAAACUGGAGGAAGGCGGGGACGACGUCAAGUCAUCAUGGCCCUUACGGCCAGGGCUACACACGUGCUACAAUGGUCGGUACAAAGGGUUGCUACACAGCGAUGUGAUGCUAAUCUCAAAAAGCCGAUCGUAGUGGCGAUUGGAGUCUGCAACUCGACUCCAUGAAGUCGGAAAGCCUAGUAAUCGCGGAUCAGAAUGCCGCGGUGAAUACGUUCGGCGGCCUUGUACACACCGCCCGUCACACCAUGG